GGAGUGGUGCUCGAGUGGCUGAAGAGGCACGCCUGGAAAGCGUGUGUGCGCCAAAAGCGUACCGCGAGUUCGAAUCUCGCUCACUCCG
RNAcentral lists this transfer RNA (88 nucleotides) under Bacteroidales bacterium. Its description in RNAcentral is "tRNA-Ser". It matches the Rfam family "tRNA". From Rfam's summary of the family: Transfer RNA (tRNA) molecules are approximately 80 nucleotides in length. Their secondary structure includes four short double-helical elements and three loops (D, anti-codon, and T loops). RNAcentral also lists the same sequence under 1 other name. The record is from RNAcentral. Lineage: Bacteria; Pseudomonadati; Bacteroidota; Bacteroidia; Bacteroidales.